This 490-nucleotide ribosomal RNA is filed under the name uncultured bacterium. RNAcentral's name for it is "partial 16S ribosomal RNA". It matches the Rfam family "Bacterial small subunit ribosomal RNA", at positions 30 to 507 of the family's 1533-position model. The record is from RNAcentral.
AUUGAACGCUGGCGGCAGGCCUAACACAUGCAAGUCGAAUGGUAACAGGAAACAGCUUGCUGUUUCGCUGACGAGUGGCGGACGGGUGAGUAAUGUCUGGGAAACUGCCUGAUGGAGGGGGAUAACUACUGGAAACGGUAGCUAAUACCGCAUAACGUCGCAAGACCAAAGAGGGGGACCUUCGGGCCUCUUGCCAUCAGAUGUGCCCAGAUGGGAUUAGCUAGUAGGUGGGGUAACGGCUCACCUAGGCGACGAUCCCUAGCUGGUCUGAGAGGAUGACCAGCCACACUGGAACUGAGACACGGUCCAGACUCCUACGGGAGGCAGCAGUAGGGAAUAUUGCACAAUGGGCGCAAGCCUGAUGCAGCCAUGCCGCGUGUAUGAAGAAGGCCUUUGGGUUGUAAAGUACUUUCAGCGGGGAGGAAGGGAGUAAAGUUAAUACCUUUGCUCAUUGACGUUACCCGCAGAAGAAGCACCGGCUAACUCCGUG